RNAcentral lists this ribosomal RNA (251 nucleotides) under uncultured prokaryote. Its description in RNAcentral is "partial 16S rRNA". It matches the Rfam family "Bacterial small subunit ribosomal RNA", at positions 525 to 775 of the family's 1533-position model. The record is from RNAcentral.
ACGGAGGGUGCAAGCGUUGUUCGGAAUCACUGGGCGUAAAGGGCGCGUAGGCGGUUUGAUAAGUCAGAUGUGAAAGCCCACGGCUUAACUGUGGAAGUGCAUUUGAAACUGUCAGACUGGAGUAUCAGAGGGGAAAGUGGAAUUCCAGGUGUAGAGGUGAAAUGCGUAGAUAUGGGGAGGAAUACCGGUGGCGAAGGCGGCUUCCUGGCUUAAUACUGACGCUGAGGCGCGAAAGCGUGGGGAGCGAACAG